RNAcentral lists this ribosomal RNA (327 nucleotides) under uncultured eukaryote. RNAcentral describes it as "partial 18S ribosomal RNA". It matches the Rfam family "Eukaryotic small subunit ribosomal RNA", at positions 1470 to 1796 of the family's 1831-position model. The record is from RNAcentral.
CCCUUAGAUGUUCUGGGCCGCACACGCGCUACACUGAAGGAGGCAGCGUGUACUCCUGGAUCGAAAGAUUUGGGUAACCCGCGAAUCUCCUUCGUGCUAGGGAUUGAGGUUUGCAAUUAUUCUUCAUGAACGAGGAAUUCCCAGUAAGUGCAAGUCAUAAGCUUGCGCUGACUACGUCCCUGCCCUUUGUACACACCGCCCGUUGCUACUACCGAUUGAAUGAUUUAGUGAGGACUUCGGACUGGGACCGAUGCGGCUUUCGGGCUGCGUCGGUAUUCUGGAAAGAUGUCCAAACUGUAUCAUUUAGAGGAAGUAAAANUCGUANCA